Myxocyprinus asiaticus (Chinese sucker) is the source of this 690-nucleotide long non-coding RNA. RefSeq lists it as uncharacterized. NCBI's taxonomy places the organism in Eukaryota, Metazoa, Chordata, Actinopteri, Cypriniformes, Catostomidae. The transcript is spliced from 4 exons. The record is from RefSeq and is a predicted model, not a curated record.
UUUAAUAGAUAAGCAUUUACUUUUUGCCCUCCAUCAAUUUCUUAACAUUGUACAUACUUUAGUAAUGUACAUUGGCUAGUAAUAUAUUGCCUUAUUUUAUCAGAUGUAAUCUUUCUGGAGCCAAAAGAACUCUGAGCCAAGUCAAUGAAACAAACAUUCUCCAAAAAGCCAAUAAAAAGAAGUCUGAGGCCUGUAAAAUGGGUGGCGGACCACCACCACCUUCACUCACUCCAGCGGAGGAGCUGGCACUGUCCCUUAAUCAAGGGCGACCUGUGGUCGAUGGGAUUCCAGGGGGCAGUUCAGAGUCCGCUACUUCCAUGAUACAAUUGGCUUAGUAAAAUUUGCUGAUGGACACAUUGUAUUAAUGGACCCUGCUGCAACAGCACAGCUUGCCACAGUUAAUAUGGCUGGGGAUUCCUAUACAGAGGAGGGUCCAUCUACCUCUACACAGAAUCUUAGCAGUGUGAUAGAUUUUCUGCAGUUGUCUUUAUUAAAAUAAUUGGUCUGUAUAUGUAUUACAGACUUUAGCAAUCAUAUUAAAUUAUCAUUCGGUGUUGCAAAGGAUUUUGAGCUGUAUAAGGUCCAUCUUCAAAGGCAAAUAAGAAAGUGACAUGGAGAUGGACCUUAUACAGCUUCAAAUGGAGGAGAAAAUGCUGAACAUAAAAAAGGCCAGACUUGAAAUUAAAUUGC